This 74-nucleotide microRNA precursor is filed under the name Myotis lucifugus (little brown bat). RNAcentral's name for it is "mir-9229 microRNA precursor family". It matches the Rfam family "mir-9229 microRNA precursor family". The record is from Rfam by way of RNAcentral. Lineage: Eukaryota; Metazoa; Chordata; Mammalia; Chiroptera; Vespertilionidae.
AGACACCCUUCUGGGGCAAGACUUGCUUCAGUGGGGCUUUGGUGCUCACUGAGUCUGCCCUCUGAUGUGUCCCU